Molecule: unclassified non-coding RNA, 376 nt
Filed under: uncultured bacterium
Lineage: Bacteria
Description: contains 16S-23S intergenic spacer region
Source: RNAcentral
UCCGAGUUGACCCCGGCAGUCUCCUGCGAGUCCCCGCCAUUACGCGCUGGCAACACAGGACAAGGGUUGCGCUCGUUGCGGGACUUAACCCAACAUCUCACGACACGAGCUGACGACAGCCAUGCAGCACCUUGCUUUGUGCCCCGAAGGGAAGCCUCCUUUCAGAGGCGGUCACUCGCAUUCUAGCCCUAGUAAGGUUCCUCGCGUACCAUCGAAUUAAACCACAUGCUCCACCGCUUGUGCAGGCCCCCGUCAAUUUCUUUGAGUUUUAACCUUGCGGCCGUACUCCCCAGGCGGAUGACUUAACGCGUUAGCUGCGCCACCGAAACGCUAAGCGCCCCGACAGCUAGUCAUCAUCGUUUACGGCGUGGACCAC